GACGAACGCUGGCGGCGUGCCUAAUACAUGCAAGUUGAGCGCUGAAGGUUUGUACUUUUACCGACUGGAUUAGCAGCUAACGGGUGAGUAACGCGUGGGUAAUCUGCCUUUUAGCGGGGGACAACAUUUGGAAACGAAUGCUAAUACCGCAUAAAAACUUUAAACACAAGUUUUAAGUUUGAAAGAUGCAAUUGCAUCACUCAAAGAUGAUCCCGCGUUGUAUUAGCUAGUUGGUGAGGUAAAGGCUCACCAAGGCGAUGAUACAUAGCCGACCUGAGAGGGUGAUCCGCCCCCUUGGGACUGAGACACGGCCCAAACUCCUACGGGAGGCAGCAGUAGGGAAUCUUCGGAAAUGGACGAAAGUCUUACCGAGCAACGACGGGUGAGUGAAGAAGGUUUUCGGAUCGUAAAACUCUGUUGGUAGAGAAGAAAGUUGGUGAGAGUGGAAAGCCCAUCAAGUGACGGUAACUAACCAGAAAGGGACGGCUAACUACGUG
Molecule: ribosomal RNA, 497 nt
Filed under: uncultured bacterium
Lineage: Bacteria
Description: partial 16S ribosomal RNA
Rfam family: Bacterial small subunit ribosomal RNA
Source: RNAcentral